GGGCCCGCACAAGCGGUGGAGCAUGUGGUUUAAUUCGAUGAUACGCGAGGAACCUUACCAGGGCUUAAAUGUAAGUUGCAUGAUUUAGAGAUAGAUCUUUCUUCGGACUACUUACAAGGUGCUGCAUGGUUGUCGUCAGCUCGUGCCGUGAGGUGUCAGGUUAAGUCCUAUAACGAGCGCAACCCCUGUUGUUAGUUGCCAGCGAGUAAUGUCGGGAACUCUAGCAAGACUGCCGGUGCAAACCGCGAGGAAGGUGGGGAUGACGUCAAAUCAUCACGGCCCUUACGUCCUGGCUACACACGUGCUACAAUGGUAGGUACAGAGAGCAGCCACGUCGCGAGGCG
Molecule: ribosomal RNA, 344 nt
Filed under: uncultured bacterium
Lineage: Bacteria
Description: bacterial SSU rRNA
Rfam family: Bacterial small subunit ribosomal RNA
Source: RNAcentral